Molecule: long non-coding RNA, 309 nt
Organism: Mya arenaria
Lineage: Eukaryota; Metazoa; Mollusca; Bivalvia; Myida; Myidae
Exons: 2
Source: RefSeq, a predicted model, not a curated record
ACCACAACGUACACAGCGUACGGGCCUGUAAGUCAUGCUGGUCACUCUGCUCGUGUUUGCUGCUGUUGUUGGAUACACUACGGGGCUGCCAGAUGAAUGUCUGGUACAGAUGGAUAUAGGCCCAUGUGACGGCUAUUUCCCGCGGUUUUUCUAUGAUUUCACAACGCGUACUUGUCAGGAGUUUGCGUGGGGCGGCUGUGGAGAAAACGCCAACAAUUUUCACACGUUGAAAGAAUGUCAACAUAGGUGUGCCACGGCCUGAACUAUGUGAAGUAUAUGUUGUUAAAAUAAUAAAUAAUAAAUAAUGUA